RNAcentral lists this small nuclear RNA (18 nucleotides) under Arabidopsis thaliana (thale cress). RNAcentral's name for it is "snRNA_04619". The record is from RNAcentral. Lineage: Eukaryota; Viridiplantae; Streptophyta; Magnoliopsida; Brassicales; Brassicaceae.
GCCGAAUCAACUAGCCCC